GACGAACGCUGGCGGCGUGCCUAAUACAUGCAAGUAGAACGCACAGUUUAUACCGUAGCUUGCUACACCAUAGACUGUGAGUUGCGAACGGGUGAGUAACGCGUAGGUAACCUGCCUGGUAGCGGGGGAUAACUAUUGGAAACGAUAGCUAAUACCGCAUAAUAUUAAUUAUUGCAUGAUAAUUAAUUGAAAGGUGCAAUUGCACCACUACCAGAUGGACCUGCGUUGUAUUAGCUAGUAGGUGAGGUAACGGCUCACCUAGGCGACGAUACAUAGCCGACCUGAGAGGGUGAUCGGCCACACUGGGACUGAGACACGGCCCAGACUCCUACGGGAGGCAGCAGUAGGGAAUCUUCGGCAAUGGACGAAAGUCUGACCGAGCAACGCCGCGGGAGUGAAGAAGGUUUUCGGAUCGUAAAGCUCUGUUGUAAGAGAAGAACGGGCGUGAGAGUGGAAAGUUCACACUGUGACGGUAUCUUACCAGAAAGGGACGGCUAACUACGUG
Molecule: ribosomal RNA, 505 nt
Filed under: uncultured bacterium
Lineage: Bacteria
Description: partial 16S ribosomal RNA
Rfam family: Bacterial small subunit ribosomal RNA
Source: RNAcentral